Homarus americanus (American lobster) is the source of this 405-nucleotide long non-coding RNA. RefSeq lists it as uncharacterized. The record is from RefSeq and is a predicted model, not a curated record. Lineage: Eukaryota; Metazoa; Arthropoda; Malacostraca; Decapoda; Nephropidae. The transcript has 3 exons.
GUGGCUUCUCUGUGUUGACAGUAGCAGGACAGUGUUGGUGUGACGCAGUGUAGAAACUAUAUUGUGUGACGAUAGCUUUGGGGCUAUGGUGGAAAACUACCAAUUCACCCUACUGUUAGAAACUGCCGAGAGUGAUCUGGGCAGCUUCAGUGAGAGACAAGACCACUAUCAACAUUCUUCCCUGACCGACACGGGACCUCUUUCACGCACGCCUCCCUGCCCCCCGAACUGCUCUCCCUGUACCACCAGGCCAGCAUCACGCCCAUACAUAUCAUGAGAGAGAUCGACCAGCUCAGGGACGACGGCCUCCGCAGCUCACGGUACUUCCUGUGUGAGCCCGUGCUGGCCGACUCACUCAAGAAAGAGAAACUACGCAAACUAAAUCUUGACAUUGAAACUAGAAGG